AGAGUUUGAUCCUGGCUCAGAUUGAACGCUGGCGGCAGGCCUAACACAUGCAAGUCGAGCGGUAACAUUUCUAGCUUGCUAGAAGAUGACGAGCGGCGGACGGGUGAGUAAUGCCUGGGAAUAUGCCUUGAUGUGGGGGAUAACCAUUGGAAACGAUGGCUAAUACCGCAUAAUCUCUUCGGAGCAAAGAGGGGGACCUUCGGGCCUCUCGCGUCAAGAUUAGCCCAGGUGGGAUUAGCUAGUAGGUGAGGUAAUGGCUCACCUAGGCGACGAUCUCUAGCUGGUCUGAGAGGAUGAUCAGCCACACUGGAACUGAGACACGGUCCAGACUCCUACGGGAGGCAGCAGUGGGGAAUAUUGCACAAUGGGCGCAAGCCUGAUGCAGCCAUGCCGCGUGUGUGAAGAAGGCCUUCGGGUUGUAAAGCACUUUCAGUCGUGAGGAAGGCAGUUGCGUUAAUAGCGUAAUUGUUUGACGUUAGCGACAGAAGAAGCACCGGCUAACUCCGUGCCAGCAGCCGCGGUAAUACGGAGGGUGCGAGCGUUAAUCGGAAUUACUGGGCGUAAAGCGCAUGCAGGUGGUUAGUUAAGUCAGAUGUGAAAGCCCGGGGCUCAACCUCGGAAUUGCAUUUGAAACUGGCUAGCUAGAGUACUGUAGAGGGGGGUAGAAUUUCAGGUGUAGCGGUGA
This 685-nucleotide ribosomal RNA is filed under the name uncultured bacterium. RNAcentral's name for it is "bacterial SSU rRNA". It matches the Rfam family "Bacterial small subunit ribosomal RNA", at positions 8 to 684 of the family's 1533-position model. The record is from RNAcentral.